Oncorhynchus tshawytscha (Chinook salmon) is the source of this 2359-nucleotide long non-coding RNA. Lineage: Eukaryota; Metazoa; Chordata; Actinopteri; Salmoniformes; Salmonidae. The record is from Ensembl.
CGCUCUGCUCGGGUGAUGUCUUUGUUCCAAGAUUGAUUAAACGACUCGUGUGUUUCUCUUCGUCCUGAGAAUUGCUGUGAAGCUAGAUAACAUGCUAACGCUGUGUUCUGAACAUAGUUUGACAAGUUUAGUCGACAUUUAAUAUGUAAUUUCGACGUUUUGGUGCGCACCCACUUGACUUUUUGGCUGCAUUUCAACCGAAAUGUGUCGUGUUUGAUCACCGAAAGACACAGACUUCCAAACUAAAGCUGUUUUUGAAAUACCAUCCAGUUUACACCAACUCAGAUUGAGGCCAUCCAUGCUGGGAUGCAGCCUGAACCCACUAUGGUAAACUAUGGAUGGAUGUGGUAUAUGGUGUGUUCUGGUAUGGGCGUGUGCACGACGUACUGGCCAGGAGGCUGGAGCUGCUCAGAGACGUGGGCAGUCUGCAAGAGAGUCUGGACCUACACCUGUGAGACCGACAGACACUUCUACCUCUACCAGGUGAUGUCUCACUGGGAAGAGUACAUUUCCAAGGUCAGGUCUAAGCAGGGUGAAGGCCGAAGCCAUGGCCACACACUUCCCCUUCCACAAGUACUUCUCCAACGCCCCCCCAGCCUGUGUUCCACGGUCGCUCCUAUGAUGAGGACAUGGACUUCGUUGAGGGUUGCUACCAACAACCCACAUCAAGAAGAGAUUUACCCAGCUGGAGGCAGGCCACACACACACACACACACACACACACACACACACACACAUACACACACACACACAUCACAUCACAUGUUUACCUAGCUAAAGGGACAUACACCAUGAAGAUCCUCACUCUGUCAGAGAUAAACAUGUCACAAACAAACAGGCUCUUGAACAAACACACACAUACCAUAUUCAUCCCAGUCAGAGGUUAAUUAUGUCACACACACACCAUGUCAGCAGUUCCGAUGUUGCUCACGGGUCGUUAGCCAUCUUUGUGUGUGUGGUGAAGUGGGAGUUGGAACGCUGAACACACGUGAUUCUCUUUCCACAACUGAUGCCAUGACAGGUCUGCCCAGGCUCUCUCUCCCACUCCUACCGGAGAAGUAGCCACUGUGACAUCGCACUGCAUCACAUUUCAACAGUUUGUUUUGUGUUUCUGUUGUGAUAUUAGGAGUUUGUAAUAUGAUGGGGAUAUAGUGAGUUUCUUCCUUUUCAUUCUUUUCCACCCUCUUUGUUAAAUCUCUCUUUCACACACUCACUCACUCACUCACUCAUUCCCUCUGUUUGAGUGUGUUCUGUGAGACAUUGGUUGGAAUUACAUGGUGAUUUGGUGACAUGUCACCCUGUGCCCCCUCCCCUCCUCCCCUGACCCCAUUGGCAGUGACACAGGACCUGCUGUCUGUCUCCCCAGAUGCGGAUGGAAGGUUAUAGGGCCUUUCACUCACCCUGCACUCCCUACACAUACAUACCCUACACAUAAUUUACCGGACAUUUGAGAAAUUUACCGGACCCAUAUGCAUUGGGUAUGUAACCUGAUCUGGGUGUCCACCCACCGAGCUCAGAAUGACAGAAAUCACAUUUAGAUUAUGCUAAUUCAUAUUAAAAGAACAUGUGCGGCUGGCUUCCGGGUUGGAUUGCGCGCUGUGUUAAGAAGCAGUGCGGCUUGGUUGGGUUGUGUAACGGAGGGCGCGUUGACUUUCAACCUUCGUCUUUCCCGAGCCCGUACGGGAGUUGUAGAGAUGAGACAAGAUAGUAGCUACUAAAAACAAUUGGAUACCACGAAAAAGGGGUAAAAAAAAACACAAAUAAAACACUUUUAAAAAGGUGGGCGGGUGUUAAGGAGCGCGGUUUGGCGGGUCAUGUUUUGGAGAACGCAUGACUCGACCUUCGCCUUGAUGGGUACUGAGUUCUUAACUUGAAAUAUGAAAUAUGCUUAUUCAUCAUAUCAGAACUGAGGGUAUUGAAAUCUACUGAGUGAGAAAGUUUACAUUCUGUCAGAACAUGUUAUUGUUAGAUAUCAGCUAUUCUAUGGAGAGGAGAAGGGCGACAGUCUGGUUCAAGUCAAUAGGACAGCCGUGAGUUGGGGAGGUGUAAGAUAAAGUGAGAAAGAACAGGCAUCACAAAAGUCCUGUCUAGAACAGAGAUGUAUUGGCUGUCCAGAUGUGUAAGGAGGAGACUCAGCAUUAGGAGGAAGGUAUAAAUAUAUGUGCUUGUGUAAUUAUGUCUUUGUCUUUGCAGCUGUUUGACCCAGUGGGUGAAUAAACUUGGUUGGAGCAUUUCGUAGUCGUCCGUUCAUUUUUUACUCUCUUUAUAAAGAACCUGACAGCCUCUCCCAGGCCCGUUGAGGAGUUGCAGUGAUGAGACAAGAUCGUAAAUGGAUAUGACGAAAUUCGGGAGAAAAAAG